This 497-nucleotide ribosomal RNA is filed under the name uncultured bacterium. RNAcentral's name for it is "partial 16S ribosomal RNA". It matches the Rfam family "Bacterial small subunit ribosomal RNA", at positions 28 to 507 of the family's 1533-position model. The record is from RNAcentral.
GAUGAACGCUGGCGGCGUGCCUAAUACAUGCAAGUCGAGCGAACAGAUGAGGAGCUUGUUCCUCUGACGUUAGCGGCGGACGGGUGAGUAACACGUGGAUAACCUACCUAUAAGACUGGGAUAACUUCGGGAAACCGGAGCUAAUACCGGAUAAUAUAUUGAACCGCAUGGUUCAAUAGUGAAAGACGGUUUUGCUGUCACUUAUAGAUGGAUCCGCGCCGCAUUAGCUAGUUGGUAAGGUAACGGCUUACCAAGGUAACGAUGCGUAGCCGACCUGAGAGGGUGAUCGGCCACACUGGAACUGAGACACGGUCCAGACUCCUACGGGAGGCAGCAGUAGGGAAUCUUCCGCAAUGGGCGAAAGCCUGACGGAGCAACGCCGCGUGAGUGAUGAAGGUCUUCGGAUCGUAAAACUCUGUUAUUAGGGAAGAACAAAUGUGUAAGUAACUAUGCACGUCUUGACGGUACCUAAUCAGAAAGCCACGGCUAACUACGUG